CAUAAUAACUGAACUAUGAUGGAUGGC
RNAcentral lists this non-coding RNA (27 nucleotides) under Rattus norvegicus (Norway rat). Lineage: Eukaryota; Metazoa; Chordata; Mammalia; Rodentia; Muridae. The record is from RNAcentral.